AUUGAACGCUGGCGGCAUGCCUUACACAUGCAAGUCGAACGGUAACAGGUCUUCGGACGCUGACGAGUGGCGAACGGGUGAGUAAUACAUCGGAACGUGCCCAGUCGUGGGGAGUAACUACUCGAAGAGUAGCUAAUACCGCAUACGAUCUGAGGAUGAAAGCGGGGGACCGUUCGGGCCUCGCGCGAUUGGAGCGGCCGAUGGCAGAUUAGGUAGUUGGUGGGAGUAAAAGACUUACCAAGCCGACGAUCUGUAGCUGGUCUGAGAGGACGACCAGCCACACUGGGACUGAGACACGGCCCAG
Molecule: ribosomal RNA, 304 nt
Filed under: uncultured bacterium
Lineage: Bacteria
Description: bacterial SSU rRNA
Rfam family: Bacterial small subunit ribosomal RNA
Source: RNAcentral